Molecule: ribosomal RNA, 253 nt
Filed under: uncultured bacterium
Lineage: Bacteria
Description: partial 16S ribosomal RNA
Rfam family: Bacterial small subunit ribosomal RNA
Source: RNAcentral
UACGUAGGGUGCAAGCGUUAAUCGGAAUUACUGGGCGUAAAGCGUGCGCAGGCGGUUCGCUAAGACCGAUGUGAAAUCCCCAGGCUUAACCUGGGAACUGCAUCCGAUACUGAAUGGCUUGAAUCCGGGAGAGGGAUGCAGAAUUCCAGGUGUAGCGGUGAAAUGCGUAGAUAUCUGGAGGAAUACCGGUGGCGAAGGCGGCAUCCUGGACCGGCAUUGACGCUGAGGAGCGAAAGCUAGGGGAGCAAACGGG